AUUGAACGCUGGCGGAAUGCUUUACACAUGCAAGUCGAACGGCAGCACGGGGGCAACCCUGGUGGCGAGUGGCGAACGGGUGAGUAAUACAUCGGAACGUGCCCAGUCGUGGGGGAUAACGCAGCGAAAGCUGUGCUAAUACCGCAUACGAUCUAAGGAUGAAAGCGGGGGACCGUAAGGCCUCGCGCGAUUGGAGCGGCCGAUGGCAGAUUAGGUAGUUGGUGGGGUAAAGGCNCACCAAGCCGACGAUCUGUAGCUGGUCUGAGAGGACGACCAGCCACACUGGGACUGAGACACGGCCAGACUCCUACGGGAGGCAGCAGUGGGGAAUUUUGGACAAUGGGCGCAAGCCUGAUCCAGCCA
RNAcentral lists this ribosomal RNA (363 nucleotides) under uncultured bacterium. RNAcentral's name for it is "bacterial SSU rRNA". It matches the Rfam family "Bacterial small subunit ribosomal RNA", at positions 29 to 394 of the family's 1533-position model. The record is from RNAcentral.